GCAGUCGAGCGGAUGACGGGAGCUUGCUCCUUGAUUCAGCGGCGGACGGGGGAGUAAUGCCUAUGAAUCUGCCUGGUAGUGGGGGACAACGUUUCGAAAGGAACGCUAAUACCGCAUACGUCCUACGGGAGAAAGCAGGGGACCUUCGGGCCUUGCGCUAUCAGAUGAGCCUAGGUCGGAUUAGCUAGUUGGUGGGGUAAUGGCUCACCAAGGCGACGAUCCGUAACUGGUCUGAAAGGAUGAUCAGUCACACUGGAACUGAGACACGGGCCAGACUCCUACGGGAGGCAGCAGUGGGGAAUAUUGGACAAUGGGCGAAAGCCUGAUCCAGCCAUGCCGCGUGUGUGAAGAAGGUCUUCGGAUUGUAAAGCACUUUAAGUUGGGAGGAAGGGCAGUAAGCUAAUACCUUGCUGUUUUGACGUUACCGACAGAAUAAGCACCGGCUAACUCUGUGCCAGCAGCCGCGGUAAUACAGAGGGUG
This 481-nucleotide ribosomal RNA is filed under the name Pseudomonas plecoglossicida. Its description in RNAcentral is "bacterial SSU rRNA". It matches the Rfam family "Bacterial small subunit ribosomal RNA", at positions 57 to 534 of the family's 1533-position model. The record is from RNAcentral. Lineage: Bacteria; Pseudomonadati; Pseudomonadota; Gammaproteobacteria; Pseudomonadales; Pseudomonadaceae.